Ochotona princeps (American pika) is the source of this 171-nucleotide small nuclear RNA. Its record names the gene U1. It matches the Rfam family "U1 spliceosomal RNA". Rfam says of the family: U1 is a small nuclear RNA (snRNA) component of the spliceosome (involved in pre-mRNA splicing). Its 5' end forms complementary base pairs with the 5' splice junction, thus defining the 5' donor site of an intron. The record is from Ensembl. Lineage: Eukaryota; Metazoa; Chordata; Mammalia; Lagomorpha; Ochotonidae.
AAACUGACCUGGCAAAGGAGGUACCAUGAUCAUGCAAGUGGUUUUCCGAGGGUGAGACUCAUUCAUUGCACUUGGGAUAUGUUGACCCCUGAGAUUUCCCCAGUUGUGGGAAACUCAACUGCAUAAUUUUUGGUGGUGUGUGUGAGGAGGCUGCGUUCAUGCUGUCUCCUG